This 85-nucleotide transfer RNA is filed under the name Chloroflexota bacterium. RNAcentral describes it as "tRNA-Leu". It matches the Rfam family "tRNA". Rfam says of the family: Transfer RNA (tRNA) molecules are approximately 80 nucleotides in length. Their secondary structure includes four short double-helical elements and three loops (D, anti-codon, and T loops). The record is from RNAcentral. Lineage: Bacteria; Bacillati; Chloroflexota.
GCCGAAGUGGCGGAAUGGCAGACGCGAAGGUCUCAAAAACCUUUGAGCUUAGCUCGUGUGGGUUCGACUCCCACCUUCGGCACCA